Molecule: long non-coding RNA, 3197 nt
Filed under: Elaeis guineensis (African oil palm)
Lineage: Eukaryota; Viridiplantae; Streptophyta; Magnoliopsida; Arecales; Arecaceae
Description: long non-coding RNA (EGUI_LNC074647)
Source: RNAcentral
UCCUUGCAUCUUUUUAAAGCUCAAGAGAUAUUUUUAAGCAUUUGGACCUAAUAAUUCAAUCAUAUGGGUCUUUCUUUGACUGUAUUCAAAGGAAAAGGGUUUUCAUAGGUUUUGCUUUUUGUACAUAGUGCUUUAUUUAAAAUGAGUGAUAUAAAAAGAGGAAUAAGGUGGUUUUCAACAAAUCUUAAAAAUAUAAAACUUUUGAUGAUAGAGCAAAAAAAAUGAUAGGUGUAUUUUGAAGUUGUGAAAAAUAUAAAAAAAUGUUAAUACUUCUCUAAAGGAUGCAAGACACGUAUUGUUUGUAUAAGUAGUGUAAAAUAGAAGCUUAAUUUUAUUUAGACAAGAGGAAGUAGGAGAUUGAUAAAAUUUUUAAAAUUAUUAAAAAUAAGACUUUCUAUAUACAAAGUAAGUUGCGCUAAAUUUUUUAAUGAAUACUUCAAAGAAAACAGAAUUGAAAUAAGCCAAUUCAGGGCAGAUAAGUGCAUUUACUAUUUCAUAAAAGAAAGUAAAAGAAUACCAAGAUAUUAGGUCUUAAAUCCCAAAUAAUUUACUCAUCGAUGGGACCACAACAAUGACAUUUAUUUUACAACAACCAAUAUGUACCACAUACGUCAAGUAUUAAUCUUUUUAACUACAACUAAGGCCACCAAAAGAAAUUAAAAUAUAAGUAAAUAAAGGGGUAUUUGGUUCGUAACUAAAAUCAGAAUGGGAAUAAAAAUCAGAAUAUUUUGGAAUCAGAAUCAGAAUAGCUAAAUCUUCCGAAACAUUUGGUUCGUGACCGAAAUCGGAAUCGAAAUAGAUGAUUUCCAUUGUUGUUAUUUGGUUCAUCUAAAUAUAGGAAUCAGAAUCAAUUCAAAUUUUUAUUUUUAUCUUUGAACUAAAAAUUUUCAAAAAUUAAAUUUUUUAAAAUAAUAAAUAGAUAACAAAUCAACUAUUAUGGGAGCUUUGAUAAAUAGAUAACAAAAAUGUGCUUACAUCUGUUUAUCCAGAGCUUAGUGAAAAGAAAAGAAAAAAUUAACCUUCCUCAACCCUGAAUACAUAAAUGAAACGUUCAGAAAUUGCAAACUUUAAUGGCAUUUCAUCAUAAAUUUCUGGCCAGUUGCAUGAAUAAGCAUGGUAGUAAUAAAAUCUACAAUCACCAACAUCAAACUGUAUCUAGCAUUGAUACGUAUAACAGCCAUUGUCAACGUAUAAUCACAGAUAUUAAAUUGAAUGCACACAAAAAAAAAAAGAUUGAAAUUUACUUUCUGUUACAUGGAUUACAGACUAUCUCAUGUAAAGGUACAAUGUAGAAGUUAAUAGAUAUUGAAUUUUUAUAAAGGCAAUCUGCACCAUCAAUAUUAGUUUAAAUUUAUUAUUUUUUUUUUAAAUUAUAAAAUCUGGCAACUAGGUUUGCCCGAACCAAUGCCUUAAACAAUAAAAGACAUCUCUUUGGCCACAGUAGCUACUGCAAUUAAAAUUCAUGUAUUUGUUAACUAUUUCUUACAUCAUAUUGUAAAAAGAUGAUAGCAUGCGAUAGGAUCUGCUAUUUUCAACUAUUUUUAGCAAUAAGACUGCCAUCUAGUGGACUCAUUAGAGGCACAAUGACAGAAAUCAUCUUGCAACUGAUCAUGCUAAUAAUAUCAGGAGAUAUUAGGAAGCAGCUCUGCAAAAGAAUAAAACUACCAUCAAUUAUGGCUUUGAGAUUGCACAUAAGCAUCAAGCAAUUUCAUAUGCACAGAAUAAGAUAUCUGAAUGACAAUUCUAACCAUUUGUCUCCAUGUUAAGAUAAAGAGCAAAUAAAAUAAACAUGUAUACACAUACCUGCAAGAGAAAUGAGCAGGUUGGUCUUCACUUCUGCAACACCGAAGAAAAAAAUGACAUAAACUUUUGACAAGAUUCAACAUCUAAAUUUUUAAUAGGUAGCAAUUAAUAAUAGAUAAAAAGAGCAAGCUAAAGUAAAAAUUGCUGGAGCUCUCAAAAUCCAAUCAAAAAAAUAGUAAAAGGAUAGAUAACACAUAUGUAUGAGAAAAAAUAUGAACAAGUGCUGAUAAUUCCAACAUCUUUUAGUACUCAGUCAUUCUUUUCCUUCUUCUUUCUUCUAUCGAGAGGUAGCUGAAGUUCAUCAUAAUAUUUAAAAAAUCAUAAUAAAUCAAUAUCAAUUUCACUGUCACAACCACAAUACGUACCUUUUUAAAAAGCAAAUAUGUAAUUUCAUCUUUUACUCACGCACCUUUUCAAAAUCCAAUGAAUUAGUUUAUACAUGCAAUUGUAACCGAUAGCUAGCACUUCUAUUCAGAACUACAAGUUUCUUUACACCUGAGGGAACCAAUCAAAUUCUUCCAUCAGAGAAACUUUAGUCUAAAUAGAUGACUCGUGUAUCAUGUGAUGUCACCUCAAUUUGUUCCUGUAAUUUCCUCAGGCCCUCAGUUUGCUUGCGCAAAAUAGAAAUGGGAAAAGAGAUCUCCUUUUGUUCAGAACUUGUAUUAUGAGCAAAUAAGAACACCCAAUUGUGAUCUUAUUCAUCAUACUCAUUGAACUGAGAUUGUGUUUUCUCCUCACCAAUAUAUUCAACUUUUUUCUCCAUGGUCAUAUUAUUAGCUGCCUUGCAAUCUGCUGUGGAAGAAUAUUAUGGUCUGUGCAAGAAGACCUAUAAAUACUGAAAAGAUCUCACCUUGAUUUCUACUGUCGACUCUUUGUGACCCUAUAUAAAUUCUCCUUUCAAGAUGUAAUGUGUGUGUGUGAGAGAGAGAAUGAGAGUGCGAGAGAGAGAGAGAGAGUCUGGAGGACUCUUCAGAUGGUAUGGAGACAAGCCUGGAACUCUCAUUACUCACAUCAAUGCUUUAGGAUAGCUUCUGUGGUUGAAUAACAGGAGCUGGAACUUCAGAAUAGGGAGCAAAUUAACAAGUUCAAUGCAAGGUGGAAAAGAUGUAGCUUGCUAUUGCUCCCACCGAGCUCAGAGAUUGCAUCAACAGAAAGACUGAGAGGUUGAAUAACAUGAGCAAAAGCUUCAGGAUAAAGAGCAAAUUAUUAAUUUGAAUGCAACAAGAAAAACAUGUAGGUCAGUGACUUGCAUCAACAGAAAUUUGAGACUUAAGGGGAUAUUUCAGUUAGGAUUUAGAGAAUGUGGAGUAUGAAUUACCAGGAAUCAAAUCAAUAAUGCCACCCUGAACAAUCAGAUCUUUGUCUUGAACAGAGAGCUUCUUUAUUUGGUUACC